GACGAUAGAGGUGCGUUAAUCAUUAGUAUACUUAUGGAUGCAUUCAGGUGCACAUGAAGUAAGUUGAAAGGGAGGUACGCCGAAGGGGAAAGGGCCUGUAGCUUUUCUUACUGGUUAUGAAGUUAAGAGCUUUAUGACUGUCAUCAUUUUUAUGAUGGAGUGCUAUCAG
RNAcentral lists this non-coding RNA (169 nucleotides) under human gut metagenome. RNAcentral's name for it is "Lysine riboswitch". It matches the Rfam family "Lysine riboswitch aptamer". From Rfam's summary of the family: Riboswitches are metabolite binding domains within certain messenger RNAs that serve as precision sensors for their corresponding targets. The record is from RNAcentral. RNAcentral also lists the same sequence under 1 other name.